Stegodyphus dumicola is the source of this 577-nucleotide long non-coding RNA. The record is from RefSeq and is a predicted model, not a curated record. NCBI's taxonomy places the organism in Eukaryota, Metazoa, Arthropoda, Arachnida, Araneae, Eresidae.
AGGGAGGAAUUAAAAAUACGCUUCCCAGCGGGUGGACGGCCACGGACGGCCGAGCAGCCUUGUUUCGAGCUUGUUACAUUGAGCUUCGAAAUCUGGCAGUGGUAAGAAAAGGAAAAGCCUAGGAAUUUGCCAUUUAGCUUUGUGUAUAUUCGAUAAUAUCGGAGCUGUGUGUCUUAUAUCUGUUUCCGAAAUGUCAACAUCUGUAGUAAACCCAAAGCCUUUUUUGACCAGUAUGACUGGGAAACGCGUCUGUGUUAAGUUGAAGUGGGGAAUGGAAUAUAUUGGAAUCCUUGUGUCAACAGACCAACACAUGAAUCUCGAGUUGGAUGAUUGCAUCGAAAUACUCGAGGACCAAACUAUUAGCAGGAUUGGAGAAAUAAGUAUUCGUUGCAACAACGUGGUUUAUGUAAGAAGAGCAGAUGAAGAACAAAAAGACGAGGAAUGACUUUCUCUCGAGCAUUUACUACAUUUACCAAACGGACAUUUUUAUGUUUAGCAUAUUGGGACGCAUUCUAGCAUUUGCAUUCAUUUUGAUUCAUUUUGUAUUUUCAAAAAUAUAAUACAUUUUUAAAAACAC